This is a transfer RNA of Loxodonta africana (African savanna elephant), 71 nucleotides long. It matches the Rfam family "tRNA". Rfam says of the family: Transfer RNA (tRNA) molecules are approximately 80 nucleotides in length. Their secondary structure includes four short double-helical elements and three loops (D, anti-codon, and T loops). The record is from Rfam. Lineage: Eukaryota; Metazoa; Chordata; Mammalia; Proboscidea; Elephantidae.
GCAGUGGUGGUUCAGUGGUAGAAUUCUUGCCUUCAAUGGGGGAGACCUGGGUUUGAUUCCUAGCCAAUGCA